RNAcentral lists this ribosomal RNA (492 nucleotides) under uncultured bacterium. RNAcentral's name for it is "partial 16S ribosomal RNA". It matches the Rfam family "Bacterial small subunit ribosomal RNA", at positions 29 to 507 of the family's 1533-position model. The record is from RNAcentral.
AGUGAACGCUGGCGGUAGGCCUAACACAUGCAAGUCGAACGGCAGCACAGUAAGAGCUUGCUCUUACGGGUGGCGAGUGGCGGACGGGUGAGGAAUACAUCGGAAUCUACUUUUUCGUGGGGGAUAACGUAGGGAAACUUACGCUAAUACCGCAUACGACCUACGGGUGAAAGCAGGGGAUCUUCGGACCUUGUGCGAUUGAAUGAGCCGAUGUCGGAUUAGCUAGUUGGCGGGGUAAAGGCCCACCAAGGCGACGAUCCGUAGCUGGUCUGAGAGGAUGAUCAGCCAAACUGGAACUGAGACACGGUCCAGACUCCUACGGGAGGCAGCAGUGGGGAAUAUUGGACAAUGGGCGCAAGCCUGAUCCAGCCAUACCGCGUGGGUGAAGAAGGCCUUCGGGUUGUAAAGCCCUUUUGUUGGGAAAGAAAAGCAGCAGGUUAAUACCCCGCUGUUCCGACGGUACCCAAAGAAUAAGCACCGGCUAACUUCGUG